RNAcentral lists this ribosomal RNA (301 nucleotides) under uncultured bacterium. RNAcentral describes it as "partial 16S ribosomal RNA". It matches the Rfam family "Bacterial small subunit ribosomal RNA", at positions 509 to 809 of the family's 1533-position model. The record is from RNAcentral.
CAGCAGCCGCGGUAAUACGAAGGGUGCAAGCGUUAAUCGGAAUUACUGGGCGUAAAGCGUGCGUAGGCGGUGAGUUAAGUCUGCUGUGAAAUCCCCGGGCUCAACCUGGGAAUGGCAGUGGAUACUGGCUCGCUAGAGUGUGUCAGAGGAUGGUGGGAUUCCCGGUGUAGCGGUGAAAUGCGUAGAGAUCGGGAGGAACAUCAGUGGCGAAGGCGGCCAUCUGGGACAACACUGACGCUGAGGCACGAAAGCGUGGGGAGCAAACAGGAUUAGAUACCCCAGUAGUCCCUGUCUCUUAUAA